AAGUCGUAACAAGGUAACCGUAGGUGAACCUGCGGUUGGAUCAUUGACAAAUCUUAGAAGGGUCGUCCAAAAGACGGCCUUUUCUUAACAUUGUGUGAACCGUUUAUGUCUCUGGUGGGUUAAAAUAGUAGUUCGCUACUAGGCCCCAGGUCACCCACCCAUAACCUGAACCUAAUAGUAUCAUUUGUCUUAGCUAUGUUAUGUAAUCUUAACAACUUUUGGCAACGGAUCUCUAGGCUCUC
This 242-nucleotide unclassified non-coding RNA is filed under the name fungal sp. RNAcentral's name for it is "partial internal transcribed spacer region". The stretch from base 1 to 46 matches the Rfam family "Eukaryotic small subunit ribosomal RNA", at positions 1786 to 1831 of the family's 1831-position model. Lineage: Eukaryota; Fungi. The record is from RNAcentral.